ACAAGUGACAUUAGAGCAGCCUUCUCAAACAGAGGCGGACGCUGUCCCAUCCGGGAGCAUAUCUGAAUCUAGGAGGCGCUUUUCUCCCAGAGAAUCCCCUGCAGGGAGAAGUCUGCGCCUGUGACUCAUGCAGCCACAGACAGAAGCUUUCAAGCCCCUUUUUGGAGGAAGAGUGGAUUCUUGACACAGAAUCCCUGCCAGUGAGCACUGGGAUGAGAAGAGAGGCCACAGCUCUUCUUCGGCUUGGAGGUGCUGAAACUGAGGUUUUGAGGAAAAUGAAGAGAAGACGCCACAGAAGAGGAGAUGGAUCCGGGCCCAGACCUCCCCUCCCCACUGGCCGCAGUACUCACCAGGAAGUCGGGGUGCUCACAGCUGGUCAUGGCAGACUUCACGGCAACUGGAGGACUCCUGUUGGCGUCCUCCCAGGGUGAAAAAAAAGGGAAGCUGCUCCAAUAGAGAAAGAUUAACUUCUCAAUGCCCGCCAAAAUAAUAAAAGUGAGAGGCAGGCAGGGAUCCCCGGCCUGGCUCUGAGGAGGGUGGGGCCUCCUGGCUCCAGAUGCGGAUCUGCAACAGACUCCCGCCACCCACACCGCCCCACCCCAGCCCUCUCCAGUCAUAAUUUGAUCAAGAAACUCAGGUGUUGAUGGGGUGAGCUCUUUGCCGGAGGCUCAUAGCAAAUGCAGGAGCUGAGGUUCAAACCCAGACAGUCUUGUUCCACAGCCCGCGGGGCUCAAGGAGAUGCUGGAUGGAGACCUGCGAACCCUCUGGGUCUGGAGAACGGAAGGACAAGGCUCCAGGGAAGAUGGCCCAGAGAGAGUAUACACCAAGGGGCUUGCUCAGCCUGCCCCUGAGAGGAAACGUGGGUCCUCUACAAAUGGCACCCAGGGGCUCAACAGUCACUUGGAAGUGAAGGGUAUUGAAAGUGCUGGACUUAGACCUUUAUCUGCUCUGCAUCUGAUGUUCUGGAGAGUUCUGAAAGCCCCUCGGCUGCUGCAGGAGAUGUGAAUGAAUUUCCUGAGCAAGUCCACUCUCUGGACCAACAGUCUAAAGAAUUUUGGGGAUUUGCUCAGAAUCCUAAGACCGAGUCUGAGAGCCCUGGGCCACCAGGUCAAGCACACUUCUUCUAAGACAGCCUGAGAGGUGGCAUGAACAACUUUCGAUUCCAAAAAGAUCACUCUGGGUGCUGUGUGGAGAACAGACUGGGAAGGGGAAGAAUGGAUAUGGUGAAACCAUGUUGGAGGAGUCUGGGUGCUGAAAGAUGAUGGCUCAGACCAGAGUGACAGUGAAGAUGGACAGAACUCAAGGAAAUGAAGAGAUACUACUAGCAGUUCCAGGGAUGCCUCCUCAGGCCAACAGGCAGGCCAGAGUCUCCCCCAACGGAACCUGCACCAACCAACAAGCAGCCACCUGCUCCAGGAGCUGAGGGGCCCGCCCCUGCUGAUCAAGCCUCAGAAAAUACUCAUCCCCAAGAGCCGCCUGCAUCUGAGCUCCCCUGGGAGAGCUGGGAGGAGCAGCAGCAAGAUGCCCAUCUCCCUGGGCUCCUGCCGUGCUCCUCUGAGCACAGCAGAGGUGUCCUGGAGCACGCUGCCCUCGUGGGAGUCAUCCCAACCCCAGCGCCUGUGGUGAGCAUGGCAUGGCAGGAAAGGGGAACUGUCACCAACUCACAGCCAUCUGUCCUGUCUUCUCCAUCCUCCCUAGGACCCCAUCCCGACCUUUUCUAGUGUGGACUGGAAAGCCCAGGCCAGGAUUCUAACUGCAAGCUCAGCCCCUGUCAGCGGUUCUCACUGUGUCCUCAGAAAGAUCUUUCUAACUCACCAAUCCUGUUUCUUAUCACUGUGUCAUCAGAAAGGUCUUUCUAACUCACCAUAUCCUGUUUCUUAAGGAAACUGGACUUAGGAAGGAAGAGAAUGUCCUGAGAAGCAAGAAUAAUGAGGAAUGGGAUGACUCUCUGUCCCUAUAAGUCUUUAGGAAGAGGACAGGCUGCCUGCCAUUGAAUAGGAGCACCUGGGGACAGCACAACUCUGAGGACAGCCCACUCAUAAUAUUUGCAGGUCCCAGGGCACAAGCACACAUGGAGGCCUACCUACCUUGCAUCCUUACUGAAAGGUUAUAAGUCAAGUUAGCAAACUGUGACAUAAGUAUGUUCUAUCAUCCUGCCCUGACAAGCGUGCCCUCAAAGCAACCUGCUAGCCGGCUGGCAUUUAGAAUUCCCUGACUCCUUGGAUUCUGUGCUCAAAUGCAGUGGCACAGGGAGAGCAGGUCACAGCUCACAGCCUGGUCCCCUGCUUUCCUCACCCUUGGCUCCACCCCACACCACAAGAGCCUUCAGUGCAUGCGAGUGGACAGCCAGUCUGCACACCCAAGCUCUGUCCACCCCUCCUCCAUGAACAUCCGCCCUUGGCCACUCCUUGGCUGGGCCUAGGGGUGCACACCUGGGGAAGCGGCCUGCACAGGCUCUGCAAGUGACCAUUUGGGCAGGAAGGCGAGGGUGUUGGAAUGAGAGUGUGGUCCUGGAAAGAGGGCUGUGGCUCCAGGUCAGCAUGUCCCCUUGGCCCCACAAACUCCUUGCCCCAUGGUGGGAUGGCAUACCCAGAAGAGGAGUAGAACAGACCCCUCUAUCUAGGCCUAAGUGUGGUCAUAGACAGGGCACCUCAGCCACUCACUCUGUCUUCUACUGAGAAGUGAUCAGAAGGUGGCCCUUUGAGCCUUGGAAAUGGUGCUGUCACGUUGCCCUGUCCACGUUCUCCCUCUCACUCCUGUUCUCCAAUGCUCUAUCAGUCAGGCCCCCACCAGGAAACAGAUGGUACAAUCAGUUUAGAUCAUUUUCAAAGGUGGAGAUGGAAUAUAAGGCAACCACAAUGGAUAUGUAGUAACCCAGAGGUAGUAAGAGUGAAGGAGACAUUUCCACCUUUAGGCCCAAGGACUAGGGGAGGUAAGAUGUACUGGAACCCAGGAGACAUGUUGAGAAAGAUGAUUUGUGAAGUGCAGGGACCUUGGCUCAGGGAUACAACCAAGCCAAGGUGCCUCCCGGGUAGGGAGCCAGGAGACUAAUGAUCAUGGCCUCACUCUCCUUUCUCCCUCUACUUUCUUACUGGUGUUCCACAUGGGCCAAACUCAACCAAGGCCAGAGGGCACAGGACACUGAUGUAGCCUAUGGAGGUCAGCCUCCUGGGGCUGAGCAUAGGAUAGAGAGGGGUGAAGGUGGGUCUGGAAGGGAAACGGAAAAUACCCAGCACAGACACUAAAUAAUGACUCAGAUAGAAAUGAUCAGUAACAGGAGAUGAAAGGUGGAUAUUUAUGAACAGAGUGUGCUCUCAUGAUCAAUUAAAACUGAAGUCUUGAUAAGAACGUGUAUGUUCAAUGCUGUGCACCACAGUUAUUGGGCAUAACUGGCAUGAGGUUCGCAUUGAUGAUGCUUGCCCAGGGUUUCCCAACUCCGAAAGGUCAAGAAUCUGCCCAAAGGCACCCAGCUAUGUGUAAGACUCAGACUAAAUCCAGGUCUACCUCCCAGCCCACAGCUUUUCCCACACCCCUCUCUAGUACUGACAAGUGAAGUCUACAAACACAGCAGGGAGCAGAACAGGUUGGGGGGAAAUGGAACCAGGUUUCAUGCAUGUUGCAUGUGAAAGGACAGUGGACAUCUGCAUGGAAAUAGCCAGCCAGCAGCUGGAAAUGCAGGACAAUACCCAUAGAGAGGAGUUGCUUACAUGCUCCCUAUGCUUGAGCACCAGACUCAGAACAGUCCUUUCAACAGAAGCUGGCUCAGGAAGAAUGUGGCUUCCUGACCGGAUGUCCACACGAAGGCCAGGAAGCCACAUUCCAAGAAAGAGCAUCCACCAUUUCCUUUUCACACCUACUUGCUCAACCCGCUGAAGACUCCCCUACACAUCCUGUGCCUUUGCCCUACUGUCAGCACACUGAGAAGGCUACUGCCCUUUCCUUAGUUCAUCUAAAACCCAAUCAUGAGCAGUAUACGCCUAUAAUGACCAGAUUGAAAAUGAGACAUCAUAAAACUUAGAUGGGAAAAUGAGAAGAAAAUUAAAGGCAUGAUGCAAACCAGCAGCGAUAUUGGAUACUGUAACAGAAAUCCCACACAAUUCUUCCCUGAAAUGUCAUCUGAUCUGAGCAUAUGCACCAGUGAGAAAUGAAUUUUCCUGAAACUCUGACAUGAAGCCUGCUCCAGGGAGCAGUUCUCAGUCUGUGACUUAGCUCAGCCCCCACCAAUGAACACCUGCUAGGCUCAUCUUGAACUGUUUGAUCUGAGUGGGAAAUGUGGCAGCAUUCUCAUCAUUACUGGCAGAAUACUUUUUUUAUUUAUUAUUUUCUUUAGAUCAUAAUAGUUUAUAACAUUGUGAAAUUCCAGUUGUACAUUAUUCUUUGUCACUCACCAUAUACAUGUG
Molecule: long non-coding RNA, 4400 nt
Organism: Equus quagga
Lineage: Eukaryota; Metazoa; Chordata; Mammalia; Perissodactyla; Equidae
Exons: 7
Source: RefSeq, a predicted model, not a curated record